UUCCUUUUUUUCCAAAAACUCAAACUCUGAUUCUUCUGAGUCGAGUACUAAAGAGACUCAUAGACGAGGGGCCACUGAUAGAUGGAAAGGGAAAAGAGGAGUUCAGAGUACUUUGUGCUAAGUUUCAGUCUGAUUUACCGUCAGAAGAGUCCUUAUAGUAUCGUCCAACUCAAGGAUGUGAUACCUCAAGUAGUGCUCUUGUUGCUACUAAAGACUAUCUUCAUUCAUUGGAGAAUAAUCUAUUAGGAUUGGUACACCAUUUACAGUAAAGGACUGCCAAUGAUACACAGAGAGAAGUAGAUACAAUGUCUCACUGGUUCCGUCACAUUGCAGAGGGAGAGCCUUGUGAUACUUACCUUAAACUAUCAUCAGGUAAUCUGGCUAGAACAUCUGAGAUAAUAGAGACACAGCAGAGUACCUUUAACGGGGAUGAUGCUCUCUGUGUCCAGAACCUUCAAUCUAUUGCUGGCUACACAUGUAUAUUCACUCAGCAGUGGCAAGCACUCUCUCUCCCUCUUACUCUCUUACAUUUAGUGGUGAACCAAACAUUUAUUAUUAAUUUAUUAUUAAUAGGAUUUAUUGACAAGAGUAGAGGAAGCUGUUGAGAGGUUCUUGUAUUGGGAUGAAGGAGUAAUGAUAUAUGAAGCAGUUACUUCAAGUCCCAGUAGUCAUGAUGUCCCAGUCACUGGUGGAGUAGCAGAUGAAGUGUUUGACAGUGGAGUGAGUAGUAUCAGUGGUAGCAGUACUGGAGGAGGAGGGAAUACUAGCAGCUGUCAUUCAAGAGAUGAGUCAACACCAGAUACUACUAAUGCUCAUGGUGGUAAUUGCUGGUCACCCUCAAGGAGGAACAUUGGUCUUGAUGAUUCUAUUAGUGAGAAGUGGGCUCAAGCUAGCAGCAACUGCUCAGAUGCCAAAGAAUAUCUCGAGAUGAUUUGUAGAUCUAGAGAUUUACCCGAUGAACUGGCACAAUUUGAUCUAAGGAAGGAACAAGAACUGAGACAGGUUUUUUUUGAUCUUGCUGCUUGACAAAUGGAGUAAAAUGAUAAAUGAAUUUUCAUGUAAAUACAGUUUGUCUCUAAUAAUAACACAGUAACAACAGCAGGAGGAAGAGGAGACAACAAGUGAAGAUUGUUCCUUCAUCAAGAAAUGAUUUGUGAAAAACUAUUAUUUGCUUAUAAUAAUUUCCUUUUAAUAUUUUUAACGUCAAAAUUGUAUUGCUUUAUGAAUUAUAAACAAAAUCAUUAAUGUUAA
Long non-coding RNA from Amphimedon queenslandica, 1251 nucleotides. RefSeq lists it as uncharacterized. The record is from RefSeq and is a predicted model, not a curated record. Lineage: Eukaryota; Metazoa; Porifera; Demospongiae; Haplosclerida; Niphatidae. The transcript has 6 exons.